This 672-nucleotide ribosomal RNA is filed under the name Salmonella enterica subsp. enterica serovar Infantis. RNAcentral's name for it is "partial 23S ribosomal RNA". It matches the Rfam family "Bacterial large subunit ribosomal RNA", at positions 2261 to 2925 of the family's 2925-position model. RNAcentral also lists the same sequence under 14 other names. The record is from RNAcentral. Lineage: Bacteria; Pseudomonadati; Pseudomonadota; Gammaproteobacteria; Enterobacterales; Enterobacteriaceae.
GUGGGUAGUUUGACUGGGGCGGUCUCCUCCUAAAGAGUAACGGAGGAGCACGAAGGUUGGCUAAUCCUGGUCGGACAUCAGGAGGUUAGUGCAAUGGCAUAAGCCAGCUUGACUGCGAGCGUGACGGCGCGAGCAGGUGCGAAAGCAGGUCAUAGUGAUCCGGUGGUUCUGAAUGGAAGGGCCAUCGCUCAACGGAUAAAAGGUACUCCGGGGAUAACAGGCUGAUACCGCCCAAGAGUUCAUAUCGACGGCGGUGUUUGGCACCUCGAUGUCGGCUCAUCACAUCCUGGGGCUGAAGUAGGUCCCAAGGGUAUGGCUGUUCGCCAUUUAAAGUGGUACGCGAGCUGGGUUUAGAACGUCGUGAGACAGUUCGGUCCCUAUCUGCCGUGGGCGCUGGAGAACUGAGGGGGGCUGCUCCUAGUACGAGAGGACCGGAGUGGACGCAUCACUGGUGUUCGGGUUGUCAUGCCAAUGGCACUGCCCGGUAGCUAAAUGCGGAAGAGAUAAGUGCUGAAAGCAUCUAAGCACGAAACUUGCCCCGAGAUGAGUUCUCCCUGAGACUUAGAGUCUCCUGAAGGAACGUUGAAGACGACGACGUUGAUAGGCCGGGUGUGUAAGCGCAGCGAUGCGUUGAGCUAACCGGUACUAAUGAACCGUGAGGCUUAACCUUAC